AUGAAACCAGCUACAGCUAGGCACUGUGCAAGCAAGUGUUCUGUUUCUUCGGCAGCUCUGUCAAAUGUUGGUGUGCUUCCUCCCUCCCCUGGAGGACCUGGCUUCAGUCUCUCACAAGCAGCAGUUGCCAGCUUCUUCAGCUGGUUUCAAGGCCUGAUGACAUUGACUAAUGGAGAACAGGGAAGCAAUGUCCAAACAGGCUGUACCACCCAGACCACGCUGAUCAAGGAAAAAAAAAUGUGUGAGAAACAGCCCUACAGAUACCAAGGAAGUGACUCAAUGAGAAGUGAACAUCUGCUGGAUAACUUUGCGCUACAUUAUGUAGCUUUACAAGAAGAGAAGAUGUACUGCAGAAAGACUGAUUGGAUCGGGAUUUUAGAGGCAAAUGAAAAAAGAAGACACAUAAGGAAGGAUGCAAAUAUGGUCCAGAAUUUUAAAUGA
Molecule: long non-coding RNA, 441 nt
Filed under: Anser cygnoides (Swan goose)
Lineage: Eukaryota; Metazoa; Chordata; Aves; Anseriformes; Anatidae
Description: lncRNA (ENSACDG00005011184.1)
Source: RNAcentral